GUGGGGAAUCUUGCGCAAUGGGCGAAAGCCUGACGCAGCCAUGCCGCGUGAAUGAUGAAGGUCUUAGGAUUGUAAAAUUCUUUCACCGGGGACGAUAAUGACGGUACCCGGAGAAGAAGCCCCGGCUAACUUCGUGCCAGCAGCCGCGGUAAUACGAAGGGGGCUAGCGUUGCUCGGAAUUACUGGGCGUAAAGGGCGCGUAGGCGGACAGUUUAGUCAGAGGUGAAAGCCCAGGGCUCAACCUUGGAAUUGCCUUUGAUACUGGCUGUCUUGAGUACGGGGGAGGUGAGUGGAACUCCGAGUGUAGAGGUGAAAUUCGUAGAUAUUCGGAAGAACACCAGUGGCGAAGGCGACUCACUGGCCCGUUACUGACGCUGAGGCGCGAAAGCGUGGGGAGCAAACAGGAUUAGAAACCCGUGUAGUCC
Molecule: ribosomal RNA, 425 nt
Filed under: uncultured bacterium
Lineage: Bacteria
Description: partial 16S ribosomal RNA
Rfam family: Bacterial small subunit ribosomal RNA
Source: RNAcentral